This 938-nucleotide ribosomal RNA is filed under the name uncultured bacterium. RNAcentral's name for it is "bacterial SSU rRNA". It matches the Rfam family "Bacterial small subunit ribosomal RNA", at positions 1 to 957 of the family's 1533-position model. The record is from RNAcentral.
CCUUAGAGUUUGAUCCUGGCUCAGGAUGAACGCUAGCGGCAGGCCUAACACAUGCAAGUCGAGGGGUAAGGCUUUCUUCGGAGAGCACACGACCGGCGCACGGGUGAGUAACGCGUAUGUAACCUUCCUCUUUCAGGAAGAUAGCUCCCGGAAACGGGAAUUAAUAUUCCAUAGUCCAUAAUAAUCACAUGAUUAGUAUGGUAAAGUUCCGACGGAAAGAGAUGGACAUGCGUGUCAUUAGUUAGUUGGUGAGGUAACGGCUCACCAAGACGACGAUGACUAGGGGUUCUGAAAGGAUGAUCCCCCACACUGGUACUGAGACACGGACCAGACUCCUACGGGAGGCAGCAGUGAGGAAUAUUGCGCAAUGGAGGCAACUCUGACGCAGCCAUGCCGCGUGCAGGAGGACGGCCCUACGGGUUGUAAACUGCUUUUCUUAACUAAGAACCGUGGAUAAUCUUAUCCACCUGACUGGUUUUGGAAUAAGCAUCGGCUAACUCCGUGCCAGCAGCCGCGGUAAUACGGAGGAUGCAAGCGUUAUCCGGAUUCACUAGGUUUAAAGGGUGCGUAGGCGGAAUAAUAAGUCAGUGGUGAAAUCUUGCGGCUCAACCGUAAAAUUGCCAUUGAUACUGUUAUUCUUGAGUAUGGUUGAGGUAGGCGGAAUGAGUAAUGUAGCGGUGAAAUGCUUAGAUAUUACUCAGAACACCGAUUGCGUAGGCAGCUUACCAAGCCAUCACUGACGCUGAGGCACGAAAGCGUGGGUAGCAAACGGGAUUAGAUACCCUGGUAGUCCACGCCGUAAACGUUGAUUACUCGUUGUUGGCAAUACACCGUCAGCGACUGAGCAAAGCAUUAAGUAAUCCACCUGGGGAGUACGUCAGCAUGAUGAACUCAAAGGAUNACGGGGCCGCCAGCGGAGGACNUGUGGUUAUCGAUGA